RNAcentral lists this ribosomal RNA (253 nucleotides) under uncultured prokaryote. RNAcentral's name for it is "partial 16S ribosomal RNA". It matches the Rfam family "Bacterial small subunit ribosomal RNA", at positions 525 to 777 of the family's 1533-position model. The record is from RNAcentral.
ACGGAGGGUGCAAGCGUUAUCCGGAUUUACUGGGUUUAAAGGGUGCGCAGGCGGAUAUGUAAGUCAGUGGUGAAAUCUCCGGGCUUAACCCGGAAACUGCCGUUGAUACUAUAUAUCUUGAAUGCCGUGGAGGUAAGCGGAAUAUGUCAUGUAGCGGUGAAAUGCUUAGAUAUGACAUAGAACACCUAUUGCGAAGGCAGCUUACUACACGGAGAUUGACGCUCAUGCACGAAAGCGUGGGGAUCAAACAGGA